This is a small nucleolar RNA of Gopherus evgoodei (Goodes thornscrub tortoise), 120 nucleotides long. Lineage: Eukaryota; Metazoa; Chordata; Testudines; Testudinidae. The record is from Ensembl.
UGCAGCCUUGUCAAACGCAGUGCUCUCUUCCUCAGUGACCCAAAUAGCUGUCACAGAAGCGCCUGUAAUUCAUGCCACCUCUGUCUAGAGAUGGGGGAUAAAAAUCUUCUACAGACACCC